This 437-nucleotide ribosomal RNA is filed under the name uncultured bacterium. RNAcentral describes it as "bacterial SSU rRNA". It matches the Rfam family "Bacterial small subunit ribosomal RNA", at positions 11 to 450 of the family's 1533-position model. The record is from RNAcentral.
GUUUGAUCAUGGCUCAGGAUGAACGCUGGCGGCGUGCCUAAUACAUGCAAGUCGAACGAGAACCUGGAUUCGUCUAGGGGAAAGUGGCGGACGGGUGAGUAACACGUAGAUGACCUGCCUCAGAGAGAGGGACAACCCGCCGAAAGGCGAGCUAAUACCUCAUAAGCUCACGAUGAUUAGAAAGUUGUGAGAAAAGCUCCGACGCUCUGAGAGGGGUCUGCGGGCCAUCAGCUAGUUGGCGGGGUAACAGCCCACCAAGGCAGUGACGGCUAGGGGGCCUGAGAGGGUGACCCCCCACACGGGGACUGAGACACGGCCCCGACUCCUACNGGAGGCAGCAUUAAGGGAUAUUGCACNNUGGGCGCAAGCCUGAUGCAGCAACGCCGCGUGCAUGAUGAAGGCCUUCGGGUCGUAAAAUGCUUUUCUGGCUGAGGAAC